RNAcentral lists this long non-coding RNA (1630 nucleotides) under Pan troglodytes (chimpanzee). RNAcentral describes it as "long non-coding RNA NONPTRT004504". Lineage: Eukaryota; Metazoa; Chordata; Mammalia; Primates; Hominidae. The record is from RNAcentral.
AUUUAUUGAUUGACAUAUGUUGAACCAACUUUGCAUCUCAGGAAUAGAACUUACUUGAUCAUGUUGGAAUAGCUUUUUGAUGUGAUGCUGGAUUCAGUUUUCAAGUAUUUUGUUGAGAAUUUUCGCAUCAAUGUUCAUCAAAAAUAAUGGCCUGAAGUUUUCUUUUUUUGUUGUGUCUCUGCCAGGUUUGGGUAUGAGGAUGAUGCUGGUCUCAGAUAAUGAGUUGGAGAUAAGUCUCUCCAUGUUGCAUAGUGCCUGUCACAUAUUAUGUAGUCAAUCAAUAUUUAUUUGAUUAGGAGGUAAUUUAUGAGAUGCAUUUAUCUCAACAGAACUUUUUUUAUUACAUAUUUAAACCAUAGGAAUGAGCCACAGGCACCUUCAUUGUCACUGAGGCUCGUAUUUUGAAGUCUCUGACAUUUAACAGAAUUACUCAAGGGAGUUAAUGGUUCCAAAGUAUGCUGCAAAUUGUCUGCACAACGUGUGUGUGUUUUUUUGUUUGUUUGUUUUUGUUUUUUUUAAAUAACCUGGGAGUGGCUUCUCUUUCUACGCGUAACACUAGAGUCUCAAAAUUAUUUUGCUGGAUUAAUUAAUCCAUUUGAUAACAAUACUUAGUAAGAACAACUGUGGCAGUCACACUGCCAGGUGUAAGAGCUCCAAUGAGGAUUAGAGUUACAGUGCGUAUUAAAAUAAUUGGCACCAUCCUGUAAGCUUAAAACCACUGCCUGUCAAUCAUUUGAAAAGUACACUGAUCUGUAUAAUAUUCUAAAGAAACUUAAAAAUGCACACACAGAUACACAUGCAUAUAUUCACAGUUAUAUUCAAUCUGUAUAAAGUCACAGUCUUUGUUCAGGAGAAAUUUCCAUUUUGUUACAUAAUGUUUGAAAAUCUCUAUAAACAACUGAUAAAAGAAAAAGAUCUCCUACCCUAUGAGUUUUACUUGGCUUUGCCCCAAGAGACUAAAUGAGAUAAUAAUGGAUAUUUUGCAAGGAAAAGAUAUAUUCAUGCACAUUUUUAAAUAAAGAGUUAGAUAUUUUAAAUUACUCAUUUGAAAACAGAAGUUUGGAGUUUCACAUGACUUCAAGUUUCAUAUGUUUAUCUAUCCUGUGUAGCUGUAUUUUUAUUUGCUCAAAAUCUUAUUGUACCUAUAAAUACAUCUAAUAAUUUCUGUUACAUUAGUUGUUUAUUUGAUUAAUUUAUUAUCCUGUGUGUUACUUAAAAACAUGCUUAAUCACUAUAGUUAUCAAUAGUUCCUAGGAUGAUACCUGAUACAACAUAAACAUUUAAUAAUUGCUUUAUUGAGUUGAAUUGAAUUGAAUUGAAUUCAAUUCAAUUCAAUUCAAUAAAUGUGUAAAACAGAAAGCCUGGUGGAUAGUUAUCUAUUUGGUGUUAAACAAUAUAUUGGGCUUUAGAUUUAUAAAAUUAUAAAAAAAUAAAUUACAUUAAUAUUUUUCUAUACAAAAAAAUUAGAAAAUAGUACCAAGUAACGACAGGCAAAUAUUUUAAAACUUUCCUUUUCAUGAACCUUUCCAUGAUAUCUACAUGAAAAGAAAAUGAAUCUGCCAUUAUAGAAGCUAAUAAAGGAAGUCGCAAAUCUAAGAUUGUAUUAUAAAAUAACUGAUGACAUUGGUAG